UCCACAUGCCCUCCGUCCCAAAAUUCUUGUCUUAGUUUUAUCUACAAAUGGAUGUAUCUAAAUACUAAUACAUGACUAGAUACAUUCAUAUCUAGACAAAUCAAAGACAAGAAUUUUGGGACGGAGGGAGUACAUU
Molecule: non-coding RNA, 136 nt
Organism: Hordeum vulgare subsp. vulgare (domesticated barley)
Lineage: Eukaryota; Viridiplantae; Streptophyta; Magnoliopsida; Poales; Poaceae
Source: Rfam